This 265-nucleotide ribosomal RNA is filed under the name uncultured archaeon. Its description in RNAcentral is "partial 16S ribosomal RNA". It matches the Rfam family "Archaeal small subunit ribosomal RNA", at positions 717 to 982 of the family's 1478-position model. The record is from RNAcentral.
AGACGUCCACAUUAGAUACCCCCUGUAGUCCCAGCCGUAAACUAUGCGCGUUAGGUGUAUCGGUGACCACGAGUCACCGAGGUGCCGAAGGGAAACCGUGAAACGUGCCGCCUGGGAAGUACGGUCGCAAGGCUGAAACUUAAAGGAAUUGGCGGGGAGCACCACAACGGGUGGAGCCUGCGGUUUAAUUGGACUCAACGCCGGGAAGCUCACCGGAUAGGACAGCAGAAUGAUUGCCGGGCUGAAGACCCUGCAUGACUAGCUG